AUAAGCUCCCGGACAGCGUCUGGGCGUCUGGUAAGCUCGCCUGUCGAGACGCACAAACAUUGGACGAGGCAACAGGUAUAAGCCACCGGUGUACGCGCCGGAGCGCGAAUGCCUGUUAGGAGUGCGGGAGUGCGAUGCGCGAAGUAACCCGCAGCUUAU
Molecule: small RNA, 159 nt
Filed under: Blautia hydrogenotrophica CAG:147
Lineage: Bacteria; Bacillati; Bacillota; Clostridia; Lachnospirales; Lachnospiraceae
Description: Clostridiales-1 RNA
Rfam family: Clostridiales-1 RNA
Source: Rfam by way of RNAcentral